RNAcentral lists this unclassified non-coding RNA (267 nucleotides) under Hevea brasiliensis (rubber tree). Lineage: Eukaryota; Viridiplantae; Streptophyta; Magnoliopsida; Malpighiales; Euphorbiaceae. The record is from RNAcentral.
UCCCAAAGACCUGUGAACUAAAAACCCAAUCACUGGCGACUCGUUCUUCAGCGAUGUGGGACGAAUGAGUAGUAGCAACGCCUUUCUUCUGUGCAUUGGCGAGGUUGAGGGGUAGGCAAUGGCAUGACCCUGUCCUCUGUUGCAAAGAGAUUAAGGGGUGGGGGAUUAGUGCAGAGGAGAGACCGACUGGACUGACCGAGAGAGGCUGUGGGAGAGGAAAAUUUGUGAAGAUGGUGAGGGAAUUGGGGGAAGGAAAUAAGAGGGAGC